This 403-nucleotide unclassified non-coding RNA is filed under the name soil metagenome. RNAcentral's name for it is "partial contains 5.8S ribosomal RNA, internal transcribed spacer 2, and large subunit ribosomal RNA". The stretch from base 1 to 122 matches the Rfam family "5.8S ribosomal RNA", at positions 35 to 154 of the family's 154-position model. The record is from RNAcentral.
GAUGAAGAACGCAGCAAAAUGCGAUACUUGGUGUGAAUUGCAGAAUCCCGUGAACCAUCGAGUUUUUGAACGCAAGUUGCGCCCGAAGCCUUUUGGCCGAGGGCACGUCUGCCUGGGCGUCACGCAUCGCGUCGCCCCCCACAAUUCUCCGUAAAGGGAACAUGUGUUUUGGGGGCGGAUAUUGGUCUCCCGUGCUCAUGGCGUGGUUGGCCGAAAUAGGAGUCCUUUCGAUGGACGCACGAACUAGUGGUGGUCGUAAAAACCCUCGUCUUUUGUUUCGUGCUGUUGGUCGCAAGGUAAACUCUUUAAAAACCCCAAUGUGUCGUCUCUUGACGACGCUUCGACCGCGACCCCAGGUCAGGCGGGACUACCCGCUGAGUUUAAGCAUAUCAAUAAGCGGAGG